Molecule: non-coding RNA, 1140 nt
Organism: Nicotiana tabacum (common tobacco)
Lineage: Eukaryota; Viridiplantae; Streptophyta; Magnoliopsida; Solanales; Solanaceae
Source: RefSeq, a predicted model, not a curated record
UUAGUAGUCCUCAAACAAACAACAAUGGCAGUUGCAACCUCAUUAUCUCUCUCAAAACUACACCUUCUUCCAAAACAAAAACAAACCCAAUUGACCUUAUCAACUCAAGCUCCAAACUUUCUCUUCUUUUCAAGAAAAAGAGCCCAAUUCCCAGCACCCAUUAUCAGUAUUCCAUCUCAGAACUUGAAAUAUAAUGCUGCCAUUGUUUUGGGUGUCACUGGACUUGCUUUUACAGUGUUAAAUGUGGGACCUGCCUCUGGUUCUGAAUUAGCUUUAAUGGGUUCUUCAUUCCAAUUUAAUGAACCCUCAAAUGCUCUCUCAUUACACACUUGGGCUAGUCAUGUUUCUAGUGUUGUUGAGUGGGUAACUGCUAUGGCUCUGGUUUGGCAAUACGGGGAGAAAUCAGGGUAUGAAUCUUGGAAGGGACUCUCCUGGGCUAUGGUCUGUCAACCAAGAUACAAAUUUAAACUUGUGGAUUUUGGCCGACCUUAGUGACAUUGCUCUCCAUCCGUGAAAUGCUUCAUAGGGAGUGGUGGCAGAAAACAUGUGCCCCUGCUCGGAGGAGCACUCUGCGCCUGCACUUGGCAUUUCUUUUAUAAUUCGGAGUCUCUUGAGGUAGUAGUGGCUCUCCAAGCAGCUUUGACAGCAAUUGGUAAUGCCACAAUGUGCUUUGCAGCAUUCCGGAUAUACAGAUUAUCACAGAAGCAGUCAAAAGAGCUGUGAGCGUAUAGCCGAGUGCAGUUUCUCCAGUCUCCUCAUCGGAUCAAAUCUCUGCGUCUAACUGGAAGAGGUAAAUAUGGCUCGUACUGAGACUACACGAUGUGUAGAAUGCGAUGAAGUGGUGGGUUCAUAGGAAGAACUAAGAAGUUUUCAGCAAGCUGAUACCUUUGUGGACUGAGCUCUAUCUCGGGAAGAAAUCAGAAGCGGAUCCAAGAUUUGAAUUUGAUUGGUUCGUCCUUUAAGGGUCAUAGACUGAACUUAUGUGUACUUCACAAUUAGCUUUGACAGAUUUAAAUCACAUUUACUUUUUAAACUGUAAACAUAUUCGAGACAAUAGCCCUGACUUUUAACACCAAAUGCGCGGUGAAAUGAUUGAGAUUUCUUCUUGAGUUCGUGAACUAAGAAUGAAGAGUUUCUUAA